This 73-nucleotide transfer RNA is filed under the name Loxodonta africana (African savanna elephant). It matches the Rfam family "tRNA". From Rfam's summary of the family: Transfer RNA (tRNA) molecules are approximately 80 nucleotides in length. Their secondary structure includes four short double-helical elements and three loops (D, anti-codon, and T loops). Lineage: Eukaryota; Metazoa; Chordata; Mammalia; Proboscidea; Elephantidae. The record is from Rfam by way of RNAcentral.
CCCUGGGUGGCACAAACAGUUGAGUGUUUGGCUGUUAACCAAAAGGCUGGUGGUUCAAUUCCACUCAGAGGUG